AGUGACAACAAUCCCUUUCGCUCAUGGUCCAUUGGCCUAAUGUAGACCCAUGGCCCCCAUUCAAGUACAAGAAGGCUGAGAACUAGAGGAGUCCAUGGGAUAUUGGCCAGCAAGAGAUCCUGAGCAGAGGAGCUGACUAAGCCUUCCCAGAUUCCUGAGCCACAGACUUUGUGAGAUGAUGUGUGCCAUCACAGAGCUGUGUGUCCAAAGUAACCACGACCCAAGUCAGAAGAAAGAACAUUGCCCUGCUCCAGUGAUGUUCGACAUUACCAGCCACUAAGGGAAUGCAAACUAGGACCGUGAUCUAUCACUACAUGCCCAAUCAAAACAGCUCAAAUUCAGAGACUAUGGACUAUGAGAAACAAACUGAAGACUUCAGAGGGGAG
Ailuropoda melanoleuca (giant panda) is the source of this 386-nucleotide long non-coding RNA. RefSeq lists it as uncharacterized. NCBI's taxonomy places the organism in Eukaryota, Metazoa, Chordata, Mammalia, Carnivora, Ursidae. The transcript has 3 exons. The record is from RefSeq and is a predicted model, not a curated record.